UGAAGAGAAAUAUUUUAAAAAACAUCAAUUUGAGAGUUGAAUAUAAUUGGGAGGAAAGUGCCGAUAAAAAUAGAAUCUACACCAAUAGGUACGAUAGCAACUUGAGGGGUGACGACAAAAAAGCUUAGCUCUUAAGACAAAUUUUUAUUAUAGUUUCCAGCUCGUAAGAUGUAUUGCUUGCGUGUUUCCAGCUCGUAUUAUCGUUGCGAAUCUUUUAUUAUAAAAGGAAAGAAGAUAUGAUUGUGUUGACGAAAGAGCCGAACGCUGACUGAAAGCACCUUCAAGAAUUCGCAUUCGGAGGAAGAUAGUUAUUAUAUGGAUAAGAAAGAAUUUAGAAAGGAAAUUUCUGAAGAAGUGACAAGGGAGUCACUAAUUGCCAUAUCUUAUUCUGAACCAGAGAAGGAUCUUUGUGUUCGAUCUAGACCUGGAAACUGCCACGCUGAGAAUGUUGUUAAAGCGCUAAAUGCUGAUGGAGAUGAUAAAUACUCUGAGCUGAUCUCAAUUUCCUACGAAGAGUCGCCAGACCCUAAAGUUGAACUCAAGGGCUAAAUUAAAAAACUGGAUUGCUCAUCCAGCUCUGUGUAAAACACUUCCUUUGCAGCAUGUUGUUUGUUACACAUACAGAACUGGAUUUAACUUGAAUUUGCAGUGUUCCCCAUGGACUCUACCCUAUAAACUCUUUUGUUAUAAUCAACCUAAACCAAAAUCAAGCACACAAGUGCUUCACCAACUGUUUGAUUUUCUUUGUAUUUAGAUUUGGUGCAUUUUUUCUCAAGUUUGAGCUGCAGAACUUUGUCAAGAGUCACUCACCUGGAGUGUCCAUUUUUCCCCUUUCAUUUCCCAAGUAUAGCUGUUAUUUGGUGCCCAAGCUCGUGUUUUUGUAGCUUUGUUUAAAUCAUAUAACGACGUCUGUGCAAAUAUUGUGCUUUCCUUUUGACUGAUCAAUUCAUUCCAGCUGCAGAGCCUACUUCGUAUGA
This is a non-coding RNA of Nicotiana tabacum (common tobacco), 977 nucleotides long. The record is from RefSeq and is a predicted model, not a curated record. Lineage: Eukaryota; Viridiplantae; Streptophyta; Magnoliopsida; Solanales; Solanaceae.